This 257-nucleotide ribosomal RNA is filed under the name uncultured bacterium. RNAcentral describes it as "partial 16S ribosomal RNA". It matches the Rfam family "Bacterial small subunit ribosomal RNA", at positions 793 to 1055 of the family's 1533-position model. The record is from RNAcentral.
GUCCACGCCGUAAACGAUGAUCACUCGUUGUUCGCGAUACAUUGCGAGCGACCAAGAGAAAUCGAUAAGUGAUCCACCUGGGGAGUACGGCGGCAACGCUGAAACUCAAAGGAAUUGACGGGGGCCCCGCACAAGCGGAGGAACAUGUGGUUUAAUUCGAUGAUACGCGAGGAACCUUACCCGGGUUUAAAUGGGAGUGACAGGCUUGGAAACAGGCCCUUCUUCGGACACUCUUCAAGGUGCUGCAUGGUUGUCGU